Molecule: microRNA precursor, 120 nt
Filed under: Marmota monax (woodchuck)
Lineage: Eukaryota; Metazoa; Chordata; Mammalia; Rodentia; Sciuridae
Source: RNAcentral
AUCUCUCUCUCUCUCUCUCUCUCUCUCUCUCUCUAUAUAUAUAUAUAUAUAUAUAUAUAUGUGUGUGUGUGUGUGUGUGUGUGUGUGUGGAGAGAGAGAGAGAGAGAGAGAGAGAGAGAU